GAUCCGGGCCCUUAGGAACCGUUUUUUCUUCUAUUUCCUUCGUAUCGUGGGAGUGCGGCGGGCAGCACUUUUGGAUCUGUUUUUUUCUAUUUUGUUUUUGCUGUGUAUUCGAAUAGAGCUCCACCCCUUCCGGCUUGUUGCGGUUUGAGGAUUUCUGUUGUCCUUCUGGCUUCAUAGUUAUCAUCGGCUGUGGGGAGCGGAAUUGCUCUUGUAGCCGUGUCGUGUUCUGUUCGAAGCUCCGGAGAUUAAGGUCUGUUGCAGCUGGUCCCCGUUUUGUUUGGGCGUUGGUGCUCUCAAGCUGGGCGUUGCGAUGGUGUUGCAAAUUCAACUCAGCGGUGCUUCUCUCUUCUUUUUUUUUUUCCUUUUUUUUCUGGGUGUGUGCUACUGGAGCAAUCCGCAAUAGGUGGUCUGUAUUUUUCGACAUGUGUGUGGCUGCGGAAGAUCUCCAUCCCAUUGAGGAGCUGCGGAGCAGCAUUUCUUUCUUAUAAUCAUUGUGGAGCAUCAAGGUUUGGUGUUGUCGGCACACAGACGUUGGCACUGGAGGCGCAGCUUCGUGUGGUGGGAGUGAUACAUCUCCAACUAAUCGUAUCGGGAAGUCAAAGCUGCGAUGCUGGUAUUCUUGGUUGCGUUUCUUUCCAUUGGUAGAUCAACGAUAGCUUCUCUUAAUUGCGGCAGCCAGGAUUUACCUUGGUGGCCGCUCUGGUUUUCUUUGCCUUGGAUCUUUGCUCUUAGUCCUAUCUUGGUUGGUGUAGUAACGCCGAGGAAUUCUGUGCAAGUCGAUCAAUGUAUUCGGGUGGUGCGACGAGAUAAUAAUGGCACGAUUCAUAUUCUAUUCCUCCCUUGGUGUCGUCGGACGGGUGAAAUUAGGCGGCGCGGUCCAGGUAGAGAGACACCAUGUUUUCCUUGACUUGACCUGCACAUUGGCGGUGCAAGCGAACUCUCUCAACUGAAUUCUUACCGUACUCAAGAAGAGAAGAUCGAUGACUUCACAGGUUGCUUCCACUACUUAAAUCAGCAAAGGAGUUCUUCAACUAGUUCGUAUCAAAAGAUGCGAGAUUCAUCUUGCACAAUUUCAUGGCACUAGGACAUUGAUUUUGCAAGAACGAUUCUUCAAGACGGCAUGAGCACAAGAUCAAGGUUUACCAUUUUUUUAAGCAAGAUCAGCAUUCGGAAACAAGUCAGCGGAAGGAGAGAAAAAGCAUGGUUGAUUGGCAUCGGACACAUCUAUUUCUUGAAAUUAUAAGACACAAGAAUUGGAGUACAGUUUAAAAGAUCACAGGAAGCAUCGACCCUGGAACUGCUAAUACACAUGAAAGUCAACAAAAAAUCUUGCAAAUGCAACAAAAAAGGUUGAGGCUUUUUAUCAACAUUCAUUGAAACCAAGAUGAAAAAAAUAAGAUGUAUAAAAGAUGAUGACCACUCUUUGUAAAACUUAUUUUUAGAAGGGAGGUAAUGUCACUAAUAUACAUAUUUACUCAAAUAAUUAUAUGUAUAAUUAGGUAGAAGUAGAUAAACAUAGAUCAAUUUCAUAGUAACUUUUAGAAAAGAUUUUUAGAAGCUUGAUAGAUGCAAUUUUGACUUUAUAUGUAUUUUUAGUUGAUUGAUAAGUUAAAAAUUUGAUCAACAAGUUAAUCAUGUAUCACACAUAUUGAUAGCUUGUAGAACAAGCUAAUUAUGUGGCAUACAUAUAGACAACUUACCUUGCAAGUUAAGACAUGUCUUGCAAAGCCAAUAUGCAUUGGAGGUCCUCUAGCAUAUCGCCAUGUAACUCCUAUUUAGAGAAUAUAUAUUGAGGCAAGAAUAAAGCUUUCUUCACUCUUGUCAA
Physcomitrium patens is the source of this 1825-nucleotide non-coding RNA. Lineage: Eukaryota; Viridiplantae; Streptophyta; Bryopsida; Funariales; Funariaceae. The record is from RefSeq and is a predicted model, not a curated record.